Long non-coding RNA from Lotus japonicus, 1838 nucleotides. RefSeq lists it as uncharacterized. NCBI's taxonomy places the organism in Eukaryota, Viridiplantae, Streptophyta, Magnoliopsida, Fabales, Fabaceae. The transcript has 3 exons. The record is from RefSeq and is a predicted model, not a curated record.
GGAUAUACAGCGAAGAAUCACUCGGCCAAAAUCACCUUGGUCACAAGCUACUUCUUUUAGAUUUUGUGAUUGUCUAUCGUGAUCUUGACUUCACUGUGAAUUUUCACUGUCUAUCCGACAUGCACCGACUAGUAGUAGAACUCUCAUUCCAAUCUAUCUCUUUCAUCUCUUCAAUUAUUCAAUCUUCCAAAAUUGUUAUCUUUUAGUAGUUUAUAUGUUUUUGUGUAAAGCUCUACCAAAAUACCCUCGUUUUUCUCAUCAUUUUCUCUCUAGCUGCAGAAUAUGAGGGGAAAACGUAGGUAUUUUGCUAAUGUUAAUUGUAUACAAGCAUUUUAAUUUUUUUUUAUAAGGAUCCAGGUGAUGAUCAUCAUGAAGCUGGUAAUAGAAGUUCAAUAUUGGAGGGAAUCUUUUCUGAGAUCAUAUAUAUCAGAACUUUGCUUUGCCUCACUGUCACGACAAAGAGUUGGAUGAUAGAUUAAAAUUGGGCUAUGCCCGGAAAAGAAAAGAAACUAUACUAAGAUAGUGCGAGGGAAAGUGAUUCCCAUCCGAUCAAAAAACAAAAGAUUCAAGCAGCUAGGAGGAGGGGUCUCAGAGCAGUGCAACCCCAAACUGAGGACAUGAGAUUCAUUUGCCAGACAAUCUGCAACUUGGUUCGCCUCACGUAGGAUAUGAACACAAACAACAUUCCAAUCUCGAGCCAGGAAGACACGAAUCUGAUUCACAAGGGACGCGUACGGGUGAAGGAUAGCACAACCCUCAUUUAUCAGAUUCACAGCAACAAGAGAGUCACUCUCAACCAUGAUCCUACGCCAACCCCUAUCCCAGGCAAGAGUCACCAUGGUAAAGAUCGCCCAGAGCUCAGUCGAAAGAACGUUAGAAGAGCCCAGAUUUCUGCUAAAACCAAACACCCAGUUGUCGUGGUGGUCGCGACACACACCUCCACAACCCGCCGAAUUGGUUGGACCACGAACAGAGCCAUCAGUAUUGCAUUUUAGCCAAGCAUCCGGCGGGGGCUUCCAACCAAUCUGAAUCAUCUCAUAACGACGAGCACUAGCCGCGACUGGAUCUUGGAGAACACGCAAGCUAUGAGCGUAGUCCAGCUUUGUUUUCAUGGCCAUAGGUAUCAUGCACCUUAAAUCAAACGGAGUUCCCUGGAAGACAAAAUUAGCACGCGACUUCCAGAUGGCCCAAAGAAGGAGAGCGAACUCUGGAGGGCCACUCCUGCCCAUCGAGUGCAGACAAUUCGAUUGCAGGUUCCUCAUUACCCAAACUUUCAGGUCACCGGCGAAGAACUCACUCAUAUGCUGCUGAUCAAUCAAAUGCAACCAUAGCGGUUUCACCUUAGAGCAAUCCCGGAAUAGAUGAAGAGGAGUUUCAUCAGCUUCAUCACAAAGCGGGCACGUCGGUGUGGUCGUCAGGUUCGAUUGCCAGCGUCUGUAGUUAACCCAAAGCCCAUUAUGAAGAAGUCUCCACACAAAGUUGCAGACCUUGAAUGGGCCCUUCAAACCCCACACAUAAUUCCACUCCCUCGACUGGGUGCUCACUUGCGAGGUGCUCAAGGCAUCAUAAGCUGAUUUUGAUGAGAAGCUACCAUCACUCGUAAGGCCCCAAAUAACUCUGUCCCUCCCAAUGUUUGGCGCCGGCGGUGGCAUAGUGUGAGUUUUUAAUUUACCUAUUGGCAGUAUAUAUUUACUAUUUAGAUACCCAAAGAAUAAAACAAGGGUUGUUCUCGUAUUCUGGUACUACCAAAGAGCCAUGUAUAUGUAUCAUUAUGUGGUGGUGAAGAAGACAUAUCUAAUUAAUAAAAAGUUGGCAGUGUGUCGUAGUCUGGUACAUAA